This 427-nucleotide ribosomal RNA is filed under the name uncultured marine bacterium. Its description in RNAcentral is "bacterial SSU rRNA". It matches the Rfam family "Bacterial small subunit ribosomal RNA", at positions 360 to 804 of the family's 1533-position model. The record is from RNAcentral.
AAUCUUAGACAAUGGGGGAAACCCUGAUCUAGCGAUGCCGCGUGAGUGAAGAAGGCAUUAGGGUUGUAAAGCUCUUUCAACUGUGAAGAUAAUGACGGUAGCAGUAGAAGAAGCCCCGGCUAACUCCGUGCCAGCAGCCGCGGUAAGACGGAGGGGGUUAGCGUUGUUCGGAAUGACUGGGCGUAAAGCGCAUGUAGGUGGUUAAUUAAGUUAGGCGUGAAAGCCCCGGGCUUAACCUGGGAAUUGCGCUUGAUACUGAUUAGCUUGAGUUCGGUAGGGGAAAGUAGAAUUCCUAGUGUAGAGGUGAAAUUCGUGAAUAUUAGGAGGAAUACCAGAGGCGAAGGCGGCUUUCUGGACCGGUACUGACACUGAGAUGCGAAAGCGUGGGGAGCAAACAGGAUUAGGUACCCUGGUAGUCCACGCCGUA